RNAcentral lists this ribosomal RNA (450 nucleotides) under uncultured Glomeromycotina. Its description in RNAcentral is "SSU rRNA". It matches the Rfam family "Eukaryotic small subunit ribosomal RNA", at positions 569 to 1021 of the family's 1831-position model. The record is from RNAcentral. Lineage: Eukaryota; Fungi; Glomeromycota.
AGCAGCCGCGGUAAUUCCAGCUCCAAUAGCGUAUAUUAAAGUUGUUGCAGUUAAAAAGCUCGUAGUUGAAUUUCGGAAUUUGUCGGUUGGUCGGGCUUCACUGUCCGCACUGGCCUGAUGGAUUCCUACCUUCUGAAUAACCAGCAUGCUAUUAAGUUAGUGCGUUGGGGAAGCAGAGCUAUUACCUUGAAAAAAUUAGAGUGCUUAAAGCAGGCUCACGCUUGGAUAGAUUAGCAUGGAAUAAUAAAAUAGGACGGCAUGGUUCUAUUUUGUUGGUUUCUAGGAUCACCGUAAUGAUUAAUAGGGAUAGUUGGGGGCAUUAGUAUUCAAUUGUCAGAGGUGAAAUUCUUGGAUUUAUUGAAGACUAACUUCUGCGAAAGCAUUUGCCAAGGAUGUUUUCAUUAAUCAAGAACGAAAGUUAGGGGAUCGAAGACGAUCAGAUACCGUCGU